CCAGACGGUCGGGCGGUCGCGGUCCUCGCAAGAGGGUCGAGGAAAGUCCGGGCUCCACGGUGACAAGGCGGCGGGUAACGCCCGCCGGGAGUGAUCCCAGGGAUAGCGCCACAGAAAGCAAACCUCCUCCCUACGGGGCGGGAAGGGUGAAAGGGUGGGGUAAGAGCCCACCGCGGACCUGGCGACAGGGACGGCAUGGCAAGCCCCGCCUGGAGCAAGACCGAAUAGGGACCCCGCGUCGGCCUCGCGUCGACUAGGCCGUCACUGGCUGAGUAGGGUUCGGGUAGGUCGCGAGAACCGUCCAGCAAUGGGCGGUCCAGAGGAAUGAUCGUCGCAUCCUCGCAAGAGGGUGGCACAGAACCCGGCUUAUAGACCGUCUGGUCCG
RNAcentral lists this RNase P RNA (385 nucleotides) under bacterium. Its description in RNAcentral is "RNase P RNA component class A". It matches the Rfam family "Bacterial RNase P class A". Rfam says of the family: Ribonuclease P (RNase P) is a ubiquitous endoribonuclease, found in archaea, bacteria and eukarya as well as chloroplasts and mitochondria. Its best characterised activity is the generation of mature 5'-ends of tRNAs by cleaving the 5'-leader elements of precursor-tRNAs. Cellular RNase Ps are ribonucleoproteins. The record is from RNAcentral. RNAcentral also lists the same sequence under 1 other name.